UUGCCUUGGAGUGGAGCGAUGACAUUAAACCGAAUGCUGAACAAAGAUGCAAUCGUGAAUGGACAGAGUUAGGAAAUAGCGCAAGAGACGGGAAAAACAACCCAGGCGACAGGAGUUACCAGUGGCCCGUUUCCUGAAUCACUUCACCUUUCCCUGAAUCAUUGAUCGGUACCAGAAAAAAAAUGCAACCCACGUUUUCAUGGCUCCACCUCCCAGUGUGAUCCUAUUAAGGUCUGAGGAGGUAAGGGCGAGAACGGUUGUGAAUUUGCCCACACAGAUUAGAUGCAGAUGACAACACAGGGAGCCUACAGGGUCUGAGGUCCAUGAAAGCAAGACCUUUCUCUUCUUUUAAAUCUCAAGGCCUGGAAGUCUGGCACAGAGUAAUCGGUCUCCAGAAUGGCAUGGAACUAGAAGGUAGGGGCUGCUGGGAAUGAAUUUAAAAUAGCUCCUUCAUUUGGGUGUUGCCCCUCUAGCUGUCUGACAAGCAGCAAGUUUUUAAAAUAAAGAUAAUGCCUGGA
Long non-coding RNA from Arvicola amphibius (Eurasian water vole), 518 nucleotides. RefSeq lists it as uncharacterized. The transcript has 2 exons. Lineage: Eukaryota; Metazoa; Chordata; Mammalia; Rodentia; Cricetidae. The record is from RefSeq and is a predicted model, not a curated record.